AUUGAACGCUGGCGGCGUGCUUAACACAUGCAAGUCGAGCGGCAGCGCGGGAGCAAUCCUGGCGGCGAGCGGCGAACGGGUGAGUAAUGCUUCGGAAUCUGCCCUUCAGUGGGGAAUAACCAGUCGAAAGACUGGCUAAUACCGCAUACGAACUGAGGUUGAAAGCAGGGGAUCGCAAGACCUUGCGCUGAUGGAUGAGCCGAAGUCGGAUUAGCUGUGUGGGUAUGGCUACCAAGGCGACGAUCCGUAGCUGGUCUGAGAGGACGACCAGCCACACUGGGACUGAGACACGGCCCAGACUCCUACGGGAGGCAGCAGUGGGGAAUAUUGGACAAUGGGGGCAACCCUGAUCCAGCGACGCCGCGUGUGUGAAGAAGGCCUGCGGGUUGUAAAGCACUUUUAGUGGGAGGAAGGUCUGCGACCUAACACGUCGUGGAAUUGACUUAACCCACAGAAAAGCACCGGCUAACUCUGUGCCA
Molecule: ribosomal RNA, 479 nt
Filed under: uncultured bacterium
Lineage: Bacteria
Description: bacterial SSU rRNA
Rfam family: Bacterial small subunit ribosomal RNA
Source: RNAcentral